Folsomia candida is the source of this 626-nucleotide long non-coding RNA. RefSeq lists it as uncharacterized. The record is from RefSeq and is a predicted model, not a curated record. Lineage: Eukaryota; Metazoa; Arthropoda; Collembola; Entomobryomorpha; Isotomidae. The transcript is spliced from 2 exons.
AUAAUGUCACUCUAAAGUAAAUACCGUAGUGUUUUUUAGCUAUAGAUAAAUACUGCCCGGAUGGAGACAAAUUAUGACUGGCGGGUGUUAAUUUUAUCACUACCACUAUAUGUGAGAAACAUCAUUACCGCGCGGUGAAGCUAAUGUUCGAUGACGAUUAACGUCAGGUUUUUAAGAGUGUGUACAUAUGUAUUGAUUAUCAGAAAGCUAAAUAUUUACGCAUUAUUUUCCUCGUCUCUGGUCUCGUCACGCACGAGUCGAGUGGCAAGUUCCAUUCUGCUUUCUAUUUGGUGACGAGAUCCAUUUGGUUUUAAACGUAUCCCAUUUUUUAAAAAACUAAGAUAAAAAAUUUUUCACAUUCACAAUGCUUAAAAUUAUUUCGUCAAUCUGCGUCAAAAUUAUCACAACAUUCAUGAAAGUUGUCAGUUUUCUAAUAUUUUUUGGAGUUGCUGUGGAAAUCGCGUAUAUAGAAAAGGACAGAUAUUGUGAGCGGUUACGAGGACCAUACCGACCCGAUCCUGUCGUCAACGGAUUUCUUUGUUCGACUGAAAUGGCAAUAUCAUAAGAGCUAAUGUUAUUUGUGUGCCAGAUUAAUAUCAAUUAUCAUUAAAUUCGCUGAAGAGUAA